This 775-nucleotide ribosomal RNA is filed under the name uncultured Neocallimastigales. RNAcentral's name for it is "partial large subunit ribosomal RNA". It matches the Rfam family "Eukaryotic large subunit ribosomal RNA", at positions 24 to 646 of the family's 3401-position model. The record is from RNAcentral. Lineage: Eukaryota; Fungi; Neocallimastigomycota; Neocallimastigomycetes; Neocallimastigales.
GUAGUCUCGCACAGAUGCAUAUCAAUAAGCGGAGGAAAAGAAACUAACAAGGAUUCCCCUAGUAACGGCGAGUGAAGCGGGAAGAGCUCAAAUUUGAAAUCUUAAAGGGUUUCCCUUUACGAAUUGUAGUUUAAAGAAGUGUUUUCUGUUGAGGUUUUGGUAAAAGUUCUUUGGAAUAGGACAUCAUAGAGGGUGAGAAUCCCGUAUUUGACCUUUACUUUCAACUUUGUGAUACACUUUCAAAGAGUCGGAUUGUUUGGGAAUGCAGUCCAAAAUGGGUGGUAAAUUUCAUCUAAAGCUAAAUAUUGGCGAGAGACCGAUAGCGAACAAGUACCGUGAGGGAAAGAUGAAAAAGAACUUUGAAAAGAGAGUUAAACAGUACGUGAAAUUGUCAAAAGGGAAGCGUUUGACACCAGUGUUGUUUUUCUGAAAAUCAAUUAAAGAACUGUUUAUGCUAAGUUGUUUAGACUUUAUCAGCUAACUGUUUAGUUUUGAGCUUUUCUUUAAUGCACUUUUCAGUUAACAAGUCAACAUCAAUUUCUUUUGCUGUAAAAAAGCUUGAGGAAGGUGGCUUGAGAUUCGUCUUAAGUGUUUAUAGCCUCUUGCCUAUGCAGUCGGAGAGAUUGAGGUCUGCAGCGUAGAUCCUUCGGGGCUAAAUGCAUUUGUGCUAAGUUAUAGCAUUUUAUAGACAACUUGUUGACUAUGAUUUGUCUUGUAGCUUACUCGCUUAUGUUAUUUUACCUACGCUUAGGAUGUUGAUCUGUAGUGCGUGCGC